ACAAGCGUGAGAAACGGCUAGUAGGACUAAGGUCUGCAGCAGGCGCGAAACUUACACAAUGCUAGAUUACAAUUAGCGAUGUAGUGAAGAAAAAUAACGAUGUACUUCCAUCUAAACAUGGUAGUACAAUUGGAAUGAGACGACUAUAAACCAGUUAGUCGAGUAACAAAUGGAGGGCAAGUCUGGUGCCAGCAGCCGCGGUAAUUCCAGCUCCAUUAGCAUACAUUAAAGUUGUUGCGGUUAAAAAGCUCGUAGUUGAAUUUUAGGCGGGCUCUAUUGGGCUGCGUCCGUUAAGGUUCUCGUGCUAGGUUAUCCAACCUGCCCUGAACUGGGCGUCAGUUUCCUAUAGGAGCUCGCUGUUUCGUCACUUAAUCGAGUGCGAAGCGGGCUGGCACAGUGACUCACUUCGGUGGUCUUGUUUCAGCAUGUUUACCUUGAGAAAAUUAGAGUGCUCACAGCAGGCAGUUGGGGUGUAAAAGCCUCUUUAUGCUUGAAUAAUGUUGCAUGGAAUAAUAGAAUACGGCCUCGGUUCUAUUCUGUUGGUCUUAUAGAACAACAAACAAGUUGGUUGGGGCGAUCAAAAGUUCGUUUGUGAGUGUGGCUUGAAGGCUGUUCAAAUGUUGUGUUACCUAGGGGUAAAACUCUAGUGUCUCGCGUUUGUCUCGGUUCUCCUAGUCAAUCAAAGCACUCCUUAUUGGGCUAGCCUUUCUAAUCAACUGAGGCAAUGGUUAAAAGAAAUAGUCGCGGCGGCAUCAGUACUGCAUCGUGAGAG
RNAcentral lists this ribosomal RNA (772 nucleotides) under Rhinotergum shaoguanense. Its description in RNAcentral is "bacterial SSU rRNA". It matches the Rfam family "Eukaryotic small subunit ribosomal RNA", at positions 389 to 910 of the family's 1831-position model. Lineage: Eukaryota; Metazoa; Arthropoda; Arachnida; Trombidiformes; Diptilomiopidae. The record is from RNAcentral.